RNAcentral lists this ribosomal RNA (492 nucleotides) under uncultured bacterium. RNAcentral's name for it is "partial 16S ribosomal RNA". It matches the Rfam family "Bacterial small subunit ribosomal RNA", at positions 29 to 507 of the family's 1533-position model. The record is from RNAcentral.
AGUGAACGCUGGCGGUAGGCCUAACACAUGCAAGUCGAACGGCAGCACAGUAAGAGCUUGCUCUUACGGGCGGCGAGUGGCGGACGGGUGAGGAAUACAUCGGAAUCUACUCUUUCGUGGGGGUUAACGUAGGGAAACUUACGCUAAUAUAGCAUACGACCUACGGGUGAAAGCAGGGGAUCUUCGGACCUUGUGCGAUUGAAUGAGCCGAUGUCGGAUUAGCUAGUUGGCGGGGUAAAGGCCCACCAAGGCGACGAUCCGUAGCUGGUCUGAGAGGAUGAUCAGCCACACUAGAGCUGAGACACGGACCAGACUCCUACGGGAGGCAGCAGUGGGGAAUAUUGGACAAAGGGCGCAAGCCUGAUCCAGCCAUACCACGUGUGUGAAGAAGGCCUUCGGGUUGUAAAGCCCUUUUGUUGGGAAAGAAAAGCAGCAGGUUAAUACCCCGCUGUUCUGACGGUACCCAAAGAAUAAGCACCGGCUAACUUCGUG